Molecule: ribosomal RNA, 489 nt
Filed under: uncultured bacterium
Lineage: Bacteria
Description: bacterial SSU rRNA
Rfam family: Bacterial small subunit ribosomal RNA
Source: RNAcentral
AUUGAACGCUGGCGGCAGGCCUAACACAUGCAAGUCGAGCGGUAGAGAGGUGCUUGCAUCUCUUGAGAGCGGCGGACGGGUGAGUAAUGCCUAGGAAUCUGCCUAGUGGUGGGGGAUAACGUUCGGAAACGGACGCUAAUACCGCAUACGUCCUACGGGAGAAAGCGGGGGAUCUUCGGACCUCGCGCCAUUAGAUGAGCCUAGGUCGGAUUAGCUAGUUGGUGAGGUAAUGGCUCACCAAGGCGACGAUCCGUAACUGGUCUGAGAGGAUGAUCAGUCACACUGGAACUGAGACGCGGUCCAGACUCCUACGGGAGGCAGCAGUGGGGAAUAUUGGACAAUGGGCGAAAGCCUGAUCCAGCCAUGCCGCGUGUGUGAAGAAGGUCUUCGGAUUGUAAAGCACUUUAAGUUGGGAGGAAGGGCAGUAAGUUAAUACCUUGCGUGUUUUGACGUUACCAACAGAAUAAGCACCGGCUAACUUCGUGCCAG